CGGGAAGAGCCGGGGAGGUGGGUGAGAACCGCCGCCGUGGUUCGACAGGAAUGCCCGGAGGGCGUUCCUGAACGUGCCGGAAGGCACGGCCCGGAGGGCGAGGCGCGCAAGCGCCGAGUCAUCCACCUCCCUCCACCA
This 138-nucleotide small RNA is filed under the name Luteimonas sp. Its description in RNAcentral is "RtT sRNA". It matches the Rfam family "RtT RNA". Rfam says of the family: This family represents a bacterial cis-regulatory element known as RtT RNA. The exact function of RtT is unknown although it is thought that it may be involved in changing the cellular response in relation to amino acid starvation. The record is from RNAcentral. Lineage: Bacteria; Pseudomonadati; Pseudomonadota; Gammaproteobacteria; Lysobacterales; Lysobacteraceae.